UCCCUCAAAGCUCAAUCGGUAAAGAAUCUGCCUGCAAUGCAGGAGACCCAGGUUUGAUUCCUGGGUGGGAA
This 71-nucleotide transfer RNA is filed under the name Bos taurus (domestic cattle). It matches the Rfam family "tRNA". Rfam says of the family: Transfer RNA (tRNA) molecules are approximately 80 nucleotides in length. RNAcentral also lists the same sequence under 4 other names. Lineage: Eukaryota; Metazoa; Chordata; Mammalia; Artiodactyla; Bovidae. The record is from Rfam by way of RNAcentral.